This 492-nucleotide ribosomal RNA is filed under the name uncultured bacterium. RNAcentral's name for it is "partial 16S ribosomal RNA". It matches the Rfam family "Bacterial small subunit ribosomal RNA", at positions 30 to 507 of the family's 1533-position model. The record is from RNAcentral.
AUUGAACGCUGGCGGCAUGCUUUACACAUGCAAGUCGAACGGUAACAGGCCUUCGGGUGCUGACGAGUGGCGAACGGGUGAGUAAUGCAUCGGAACGUACCCAGAGGUGGGGGAUAACGCAGCGAAAGCUGUGCUAAUACUGCAUGUGAUCUGAGGAUGAAAGCGGGGGACCGAGCAGCAAUGUUUGGCCUCGCGCCUUUGGAGCGGCCGAUGUCGGAUUAGCUAGUUGGUGGGGUAAAGGCCUACCAAGGCGACGAUCCGUAGCUGGUCUGAGAGGACGACUAGCCACACUGGGACUGAGACACGGCCCAGACUCCUACGGGAGGCAGCAGUGGGGAAUUUUGGACAAUGGGCGCAAGCCUGAUCCAGCAAUGCCGCGUGCGGGAAGAAGGCCUUCGGGUUGUAAACCGCUUUUGGCAGGAACGAAACGGUGUCCGCUAAUACCGGGCGCUAAUGACGGUACCUGCAGAAUAAGCACCGGCUAACUACGUG